Molecule: ribosomal RNA, 75 nt
Filed under: Caerostris darwini
Lineage: Eukaryota; Metazoa; Arthropoda; Arachnida; Araneae; Araneidae
Source: RNAcentral
GUACGCCGAAGUUAAGCAUCAUUGGGCGCGGUCAGUACUUGGGUGGGUGACCACCUGGGAACACUGCGUGCCGUU